UAGUUUUCAUGGAGCUGCUGGUCCGUGG
This 28-nucleotide non-coding RNA is filed under the name Mus musculus (house mouse). Lineage: Eukaryota; Metazoa; Chordata; Mammalia; Rodentia; Muridae. The record is from RNAcentral.